CGGUACGGGUGAGUAACACGUGGGAUCAUCUGCCCUGGAGUGGGGAAUAACGAUGGGAAACCGUCGCUAAUACCGCAUAAUCCCGAGAGGGGAAAGCAGAAAUGCGCUCAAGGAGGAGUCCGCGGCCGAUUAGCUUGUUGGUAGGGUAAUGGCCUACCAAGGCUGCGAUCGGUAGCCGGCCUGAGAGGGCACACGGCCACACUGGCACUGAAACACGGGCCAG
RNAcentral lists this ribosomal RNA (223 nucleotides) under uncultured bacterium. RNAcentral describes it as "partial 16S ribosomal RNA". It matches the Rfam family "Bacterial small subunit ribosomal RNA", at positions 100 to 334 of the family's 1533-position model. The record is from RNAcentral.